CCUAUUAUCUGCAGAAAGCUCAGGAAAAAUGAAACCUUCGCCUACCAUGGAGUUCCACUGGCCAAGAAAGGAAUGAGAAAUAGCUUAUUGAAAGGCAGUAGAUGCUUCAAACGAGUUGAUGGCAUAUAUAACAUCCUAUCAUCUAUUCUGAGUUGGAUAUGGUUUAGAGUAUGUGGUAUCUAUUUAUAGGAAAGGUUUGUUGGAUUAUAAUUAGUUAGUUCCUCCUUAUACUAUAGUCGAGUCAAUCCAUUACCAUCUUGUUGCACCAGAUUUUUGAUUUGAUCGUCGGAGGGUCCUCACCAAAGUCAAUUUUGG
This 315-nucleotide long non-coding RNA is filed under the name Elaeis guineensis (African oil palm). Its description in RNAcentral is "long non-coding RNA (EGUI_LNC042596)". Lineage: Eukaryota; Viridiplantae; Streptophyta; Magnoliopsida; Arecales; Arecaceae. The record is from RNAcentral.